Molecule: long non-coding RNA, 415 nt
Filed under: Homo sapiens (human)
Lineage: Eukaryota; Metazoa; Chordata; Mammalia; Primates; Hominidae
Description: HSALNT0302225
Source: RNAcentral
AAUUCAUUAAAUGCAACUGUUAUGAUUCAUUUAGAAUUCACUCCAAUUCUGAAAUGAUAAAUGACAGUGCAUUUAUGUAUAAAUGACAGUGUAUUCAUCUCCCCAAAGCUGGUCACAAGUGCCCUCACUGCUCUGGAGUAAAACAUGGGCUAGAAACAAGGAAGCAAAGACUUAAAAACAGCAUCAUGUUUAUUCACUGGAGAAAAAGACAAACAGUUCAACUGCCUGCUUCACUUUGCCUUCAAGUUUAUCAAGAUGAGGCCGAGAAUUCUCAUAAACUCCUCAAGGACACCAAAAGGAGUUCCUGUAGACUCACUCAGAGUCCUUUCCCUCCUCUCCCUCAAGCAGUGCCCACCUCUUUUCAGGAAGCAUCUUCUCUUUUCCAUUUGACUUUCAUAAAGAAGCUGGAGUUUUA